RNAcentral lists this ribosomal RNA (301 nucleotides) under uncultured Bacillus sp. Its description in RNAcentral is "bacterial SSU rRNA". It matches the Rfam family "Bacterial small subunit ribosomal RNA", at positions 495 to 795 of the family's 1533-position model. The record is from RNAcentral. Lineage: Bacteria; Bacillati; Bacillota; Bacilli; Caryophanales; Bacillaceae.
UGGUAACUCUGUGCCGGCAGCCGCGGUAAUACAGAGGGGGGAAGCGUUGGUCGGACUGACUGGGCGUAAAGGUCGCGUAGGCGGCCUGCUAAGUCGAACGUGAAAUCCCCGGGCUCAACCCGGGAACGGCGUCCGAUACUGGCAGGCUUGAAUCCGGGAGAGGGAUGCGGAAUUCCAGGUGUAGCGGUGAAAUGCGUAGAUAUCUGGAGGAACACCGGUGGCGAAGGCGGCAUCCUGGACCGGCAUUGACGCUGAGGCGCGAAAGCCAGGGGAGCAAACGGGAUUAGAUACCCGAGUAGUC